UACGGAGGGCGCAAGCGUUACUCGGAAUCACUGGGCGUAAAGAGCGUGUAGGCGGGUGAAUAAGUUUGAAGUGAAAUCCUAUAGCUUAACUAUAGAACUGCUUUGAAAACUGUUCACCUAGAAUAUGGGAGAGGUAGAUGGAAUUUCUGGUGUAGGGGUAAAAUCCGUAGAGAUCAGAAGGAAUACCGAUUGCGAAGGCGAUCUACUGGAACAUUAUUGACGCUGAGACGCGAAAGCGUGGGGAGCAAACAGG
Molecule: ribosomal RNA, 253 nt
Filed under: uncultured bacterium
Lineage: Bacteria
Description: partial 16S ribosomal RNA
Rfam family: Bacterial small subunit ribosomal RNA
Source: RNAcentral